AAAAUCGAUGUCUACUUGGCGGUGAGUGCCCUUGAGGCGUGGCUUCCGGAGCUAACGCGUUAAGUCGACCGCCUGGGGAGUACGGCCGCAAGGUUAAAACUCAAAUGAAUUGACGGGGGCCCGCACAAGCGGUGGAGCAUGUGGUUUAAUUCGAUGCAACGCGAAGAACCUUACCUGGUCUUGACAUCCACGGAAGUUUUCAGAGAUGAGAAUGUGCCUUCGGGAACCGUGAGACAGGUGCUGCAUGGCUGUCGUCAGCUCGUGUUGUGAAAUGUUGGGUUAAUCCCGCAACGAAAAUUG
This 300-nucleotide ribosomal RNA is filed under the name Escherichia coli. RNAcentral describes it as "bacterial SSU rRNA". It matches the Rfam family "Bacterial small subunit ribosomal RNA", at positions 801 to 1101 of the family's 1533-position model. Lineage: Bacteria; Pseudomonadati; Pseudomonadota; Gammaproteobacteria; Enterobacterales; Enterobacteriaceae. The record is from RNAcentral.